This is a long non-coding RNA of Gasterosteus aculeatus aculeatus (three-spined stickleback), 465 nucleotides long. The record is from Ensembl. Lineage: Eukaryota; Metazoa; Chordata; Actinopteri; Perciformes; Gasterosteidae.
CCAGAUGCGUGUGCAGCACUUCUUCUCGCCUGCCUGCAUUGUCGCUUUCACGAAUUCAUGCUUCUGCUAUUGGAUGCGUGUGAGCUGGCCGUGGGUCGCUGCUUUCCCUCGUACAAAUACAUCACGGCCGCCAGCGACCAGCAGGGAAACGACUGCUGCAACUACAACCUGGAGAUGGAUUGCAACUGCUGCGGCUCCUGUCAGGACGCAGGAGAACUCAUCGAGCUGGCCAUGGAGAUGUCAGAGGUCUGCUAUCGCUGAGAGCCUCCUCACCUGUGGGCCCUGCAAGUACAAUGGAAAAAAACAUGAACGAGGGAGACGUGCACCACGCCGGGGACGUGGGAGCAUGCUUUCAAAAAGACACCUCCGACCAUUCAAGUGAUCACAGCAUGUAAUCUACAACCAAGGGAACUUAUCAGAUGGUAAAAUGUGAAUGGAAAUGAAUUAUAUUAUGCAUCAAAACGG